GUUGAUAAGGUUAAGUGAAUAAGGGCGCACGGUGGAUGCCUUGGCACUAGGAGCCGAUGAAGGACGGGACUAACACCGAUAUGCUUUGGGGAGCUGUACGUAAGCUAUGAUCCAGAGAUUUCCGAAUGGGGGAACCCAGCAUCUUUAAUAGGAUGUUACGAUUGUGUGAAUACAUAGCACAUUCGAGGUAGACGCAGAGAACUGAAACAUCUAAGUACCUGCAGGAAGAGAAAGAAAAUUCGAUUCCCUGAGUAGCGGCGAGCGAAACGGGAAAAGCCCAAACCAACAAGCUUGCUUGUUGGGGUUGUAGGACUCCAAUAUGGUCGUUCUUUCAGAUAGUCGAAUGACUUGGAAAAGUCAGUCAAAGAGGGUAAAAACCCCGUAGACGAAAUGUGGAAGACACCUAGGAGGAUCCUGAGUACGGCGGAACACGAGAAAUUCCGUCGGAAUCCGGGAGGACCAUCUCCCAAGGCUAAAUACUCCCUAGUGACCGAUAGUGAACCAGUACCGUGAGGGAAAGGUGAAAAGCACCCCGGAAGGGGAGUGAAAUAGAACCUGAAACCGUGUGCCUACAACAAGUCAAAGCCCGUUAAUGGGUGAUGGCGUGCCUUUUGUAGAAUGAACCGGCGAGUUACGAUUGCAUGCGAGGUUAAGUUGAAGAGACGGAGCCGCAGCGAAAGCGAGUCUGAAUAGGGCGUUUGAGUAUGUAGUCGUAGACCCGAAACCAUGUGAUCUACCCAUGUCCAGGUUGAAGGUGCGGUAAAACGCACUGGAGGACCGAACCCACGUACGUUGAAAAGUGCGGGGAUGAGGUGUGGGUAGCGGAGAAAUUCCAAACGAACUUGGAGAUAGCUGGUUCUCUCCGAAAUAGCUUUAGGGCUAGCCUCGGAAUUGAGAAUGAUGGAGGUAGAGCACUGUUUGGACUAGGGGCCCAUCUCGGGUUACCGAAUUCAGAUAAACUCCGAAUGCCAUUCAUUCAUAUCCGGGAGUCAGACUGUGAGUGAUAAGAUCCAUAGUCGAAAGGGAAACAGCCCAGACCACCAGCUAAGGUCCCAAAAUAUAUGUUAAGUGGAAAAGGAUGUGGGGUUGCACAGACAACUAGGAUGUUGGCUUAGAAGCAGCCACCAUUUAAAGAGUGCGUAAUAGCUCACUAGUCGAGUGACCCUGCGCCGAAAAUGUACCGGGGCUAAACAUAUUACCGAAGCUGUGGAGUACACCUUUAGGUGUAUUGGUAGGAGAGCGUUCUAAGGGCGUCGAAGGCAGAUCGUGAGGACUGCUGGAGCGCUUAGAAGUGAGAAUGCCGGUAUGAGUAGCGAAAGACAGGUGAGAAUCCUGUCCACCGAAUGACUAAGGUUUCCUGGGGAAGGCUCGUCCGCCCAGGGUUAGUCGGGACCUAAGCCGAGGCCGAUAGGCGUAGGCGAUGGAUAACAGGUUGAUAUUCCUGUACCCGUUGUUUUUGUUUGAGCAAUGGAGGGACGCAGGAGGCUAAGGAAUGCAGACGAUCGGAAAUGUCUGUCCAAGCAGUAAGUCUGAAGAGGAGUCAAAUGCUUCUUUUCUUAAGGACAAGCUGUGAUGGGGAGGGAAAUAAUAGUACCGAAGUUCCUGAUGUCACACUGCCGAGAAAAGCUUCUAGUGAGAAAACAGCGGCCCGUACCGCAAACCGACACAGGUAGUCGAGGAGAGAAUCCUAAGGUGAGCGAGAGAACUCUCGUUAAGGAACUCGGCAAAAUGACCCCGUAACUUCGGGAGAAGGGGUGCUGAUCAUACGAUCAGCCGCAGUGAAUAGGCCCAAGCGACUGUUUAUCAAAAACACAGGUCUCUGCAAAAUCGUAAGAUGAAGUAUAGGGGCUGACGCCUGCCCGGUGCUGGAAGGUUAAGAGGAGUGCUUAGCGCAAGCGAAGGUACGAAUUGAAGCCCCAGUAAACGGCGGCCGUAACUAUAACGGUCCUAAGGUAGCGAAAUUCCUUGUCGGGUAAGUUCCGACCCGCACGAAAGGCGUAACGAUUUGGGCACUGUCUCAACGAGAGACUCGGUGAAAUUUUAGUACCUGUGAAGAUGCAGGUUACCCGCGACAGGACGGAAAGACCCCAUGGAGCUUUACUGUAGUUUGAUAUUGAGUGUCUGUACCGCAUGUACAGGAUAGGUAGGAGCCGUAGAAAUCGGAACGCUAGUUUCGAUGGAGGCGCUGGUGGGAUACUACCCCUGCGUUAUGGCCACUCUAACCCGCACCACUGAUCGUGGUGGGAGACAGUGUCAGAUGGGCAGUUUGACUGGGGCGGUCGCCUCCUAAAAGGUAACGGAGGCGCCCAAAGGUUCCCUCAGAAUGGUUGGAAAUCAUUCGAAGAGUGUAAAGGCAGAAGGGAGCUUGACUGCGAGACCAACAAGUCGAGCAGGGACGAAAGUCGGGCUUAGUGAUCCGGUGGUUCCGCAUGGAAGGGCCAUCGCUCAACGGAUAAAAGCUACCCUGGGGAUAACAGGCUUAUCUCCCCCAAGAGUCCACAUCGACGGGG
RNAcentral lists this ribosomal RNA (2510 nucleotides) under Enterococcus faecium. Its description in RNAcentral is "partial 23S ribosomal RNA". It matches the Rfam family "Bacterial large subunit ribosomal RNA", at positions 1 to 2513 of the family's 2925-position model. Lineage: Bacteria; Bacillati; Bacillota; Bacilli; Lactobacillales; Enterococcaceae. The record is from RNAcentral.